Molecule: long non-coding RNA, 1532 nt
Organism: Centruroides sculpturatus (bark scorpion)
Lineage: Eukaryota; Metazoa; Arthropoda; Arachnida; Scorpiones; Buthidae
Exons: 4
Source: RefSeq, a predicted model, not a curated record
GACAGUGAUAGGUUAAUCUUAUCAUAAGAGAAGGAUAACAAAAGUCCUUUUAUAUUGACUGAACGUAAAAAAGUAAUAUCAACUCUUGACUCACCCCUGCUAUGACGUAAACGAUUCUAACUAGUAACAGCAAACAGGAACACCAUAAAUAGAGUACUAACCCCAAUUGCACUAAACGGAAAACUAAACUUGUGUUUAAAAAUUAAAAAUUUUGAACUAAAGAAUUAAAAUUUUCCUUUUCGACGCCAUAGUUUUGAAAUGAAAUUUUUAUUCCGUGUACUUAUAAUCGUCACCUCCGUCUUCCAAUUAAAUCUGGCCAAUUAUCGAUGCUACAAAUGCCUGUGGACCAGUCACUUCAAUAUCGACCAAAAUUGUAUCCCCUCUUACUUCAAUAAUAGUAUUAUUGAAAUCGUUUCGUGUGAUUCCGGAUGCUUAAAUUCAUACGUAUAUCUAAAUGGUACGAUGGUUUCUUACACUCGCGCUUGCGCCCUUCGCCAGGCAGAAGACGGAGUUUGUCAAGAAAAAAUGGACGGCCACAGCAAAUUAGUGAACUGUUUUUGCAAAAAGGACUUUUGUAACGGCUGCGGCCACUGGAAAAGUGGCGCCGGGUGGAACUUGGCCUAUUUAAUAUUUAUUCACAUUUUAUAUAAGGUUAUCCGAACGUCGUUGUAAGUGAGUCACGUUUUAUAACGGUGUGUAUUAAUCCAGCGCUUGUUAUUUCCCAGAGUAUCCCACGUGGCAACGUUUACGCGUUUCUUUCAAUUUGUGCUAAUUUCCAUUUUAGGUUAAAAAUGACAGUAUUCGAACGCGGCUUCAGCGUAAGCCGUAACGUGGAAGCUUUGGCCCCUCGGGCCGAUAACAAAUGUGAUACGGCUCGGGCCCUAAGUCGUAGCCCGUUUAACUAUUCCGUUCGUAAAUGUGACCCCAUUGCCCAUAUAUAAGAAAAACCCAGACUUCAUUAAGGAUACUCCUCGAUAUUUUUCGUCGUAGAACGUAAGUUUUUCAAUUUGGAAUGUUUGCAACGUAGUCGAAAUGUAUUAUUGGUCCAGCGUAUUCGGUAUUUUAUUUUAAACCGUGUUAAAAUCUCGACAAAUACGCCAUUCGCCCUACGGUCCCAAGACUUACUCAUCUUAUUACGCGCCUAGCACCCGGAUACACGAAAAAAAAGUCGUGCUGUAACGUUUAAAAACUUUCCGAAAUUGCUGAUAAAAUUUCAAAUUAUUACAGACAAAAAAUUAAAGUUUUCUAAUUAAAAUAUUCGAUCGGCCGUAGAUUUGCAUUACAGUUAUCCCUCGCUUAACGUUGGAUUUGAUUAAUUGUGGCCAUCCCUUUAUAUACCAACAGAAAUUUUAAUUAACUCGCGGCUUUACCGGCCUUCUUUACUUAACGUAGAAACCGUAUUCGAUUAACGCGAUUUUGAUGCUCGCGAUAGCUCCGAGGGAUUAGUUAACCGCGUUGAUCAAGGGGUAUCUGCAUUUCUUUUUUGUAAAAUAUGCGUUGCGUAAUAAAAUGGUGUGCGUAUUUUAAAAGUC